CGCUGUUUUACAGUAUUGUAAUAUUUAUUACUUACUACUUGGGUUCGUAUUUAUAUUCUUAUCGUGUUCGCUGUUGUCUGCUUGACGUUCCUACAGAUUGUUAAUAAUUGUAUUGCAUCAACCAUUUAGAAGAACCAAUUUUACCCUGGCCAAAUUAUCAAAAAUAUUUUUAAGUAUUAAGAGUCAUUGAGGAUAAUUUUUUUUACAAGAAGCUGAAAUUGAAGUGCUCAAGUCGUGUCGAUACAAAGUGUUACAAGGUGGAUUCACGUUCAAACUCUAAUAUAAGAAAA
Molecule: long non-coding RNA, 290 nt
Organism: Myzus persicae (green peach aphid)
Lineage: Eukaryota; Metazoa; Arthropoda; Insecta; Hemiptera; Aphididae
Exons: 2
Source: RefSeq, a predicted model, not a curated record